AGCAGGUGAAGGUAAAGCAGGUGAAGCAGGUGAAGGUAAAGCAGGUGAAGCGGGUGAAGGUAAAGCAGGUGAAGCAGGUGAAGGUAAAGCAGGUGAAGCAGGUGAAGGUAAAGCAGGUGAAGCAGGUGAAGGUAAAGCAGAUGAAGCAGGUGAAGGACGGACUUACCCUCAGCA
Long non-coding RNA from Astyanax mexicanus (Mexican tetra), 174 nucleotides. RefSeq lists it as uncharacterized. Lineage: Eukaryota; Metazoa; Chordata; Actinopteri; Characiformes; Acestrorhamphidae. The transcript is spliced from 3 exons. The record is from RefSeq and is a predicted model, not a curated record.